This 88-nucleotide microRNA precursor is filed under the name Cricetulus griseus (Chinese hamster). RNAcentral's name for it is "mir-344". Lineage: Eukaryota; Metazoa; Chordata; Mammalia; Rodentia; Cricetidae. The record is from RNAcentral.
CUAGGGCUGUUAACAGCCAGGCUUUGCCUAAGUCCAGCUAAAAGCUGGACUUAGCCAGAAGCCUGACUGGAAAAAUCCUCCAGUACUG